UUACAAUGGAGAGUUUGAUCCUGGCUCAGGAUGAACGCUAGCGGCAGGCCUAAUACAUGCAAGUCGAACGAGAUUGAGGAGCUUGCUCUUCAUGAAAGUGGCGCACGGGUGCGUAACGCGUAUGCAAUCUACCUUAAUCAGGGGGAUAGCCCGGAGAAAUCCG
Molecule: ribosomal RNA, 163 nt
Filed under: Sphingobacteriaceae bacterium
Lineage: Bacteria; Pseudomonadati; Bacteroidota; Sphingobacteriia; Sphingobacteriales; Sphingobacteriaceae
Description: partial 16S ribosomal RNA
Rfam family: Bacterial small subunit ribosomal RNA
Source: RNAcentral